AAACAACAACACAUCAUGGAAGCGUGGAAGUUACCUGAACCCUGAACAUUUUUACCUGAAAAAUAGCGGCAUGUUGGUAUAGUAGGCAACUAUGUGAUGCCUUAAGAAACCUCAUGUUCUGCUAUGUGAGAAAGUGGAUAACAACACAAGAAUACCAGAUGUUGAGCGGCAUGUUGGUAUAGUAGGCAACUGGAUGUGACGCCUUAAGAAACAUCAUGUUCUGCUAUGUGAGAAAGUGGAUAACAACACAAGAAUACCAGAUGUUGAUAGCUUGCUACAGUUAAUUCAUCUGCAUAUACAACCAGACCAGCAGCCCUCAUUAGCAGGCAGAAAAUGAUGAAUAUUCAUUGAAAUCAACUUGAAACUGCAAAACUCAAGAAAACUGCAAAACUGACACCUAAUCCAGAACAACUUCUGAGAGGCAUAUAUAUCUUUCAGCGGGGCCAAGGGUGGUGGGUGGCGCGUAGGUUCCACGCGUGGCGAUCGCCUAUUAUAGGCGAUUGCUUCCGCUUGGAUAAUCCCAACUGUCUUAAUGCGCGAAAUGCUGCCGAAAUUUUCCAAAAAAGUUUCGUUAACAUUUAUUGGAUUGUAUGUGUUGUUUGAAAUACAGUACGCUACAAAAGAGUUGUAGUACAAUGAA
Anneissia japonica is the source of this 640-nucleotide long non-coding RNA. RefSeq lists it as uncharacterized. Lineage: Eukaryota; Metazoa; Echinodermata; Crinoidea; Comatulida; Comatulidae. The record is from RefSeq and is a predicted model, not a curated record. The transcript has 4 exons.